This 461-nucleotide ribosomal RNA is filed under the name uncultured bacterium. Its description in RNAcentral is "bacterial SSU rRNA". It matches the Rfam family "Bacterial small subunit ribosomal RNA", at positions 338 to 795 of the family's 1533-position model. The record is from RNAcentral.
CCUANGGGUGGCAGCAGUCUAGAGGCUUCGGCAAUGGACGAAAGUCUGACCGAGCGACGCCGCGUGCGGGAUGAAGGCCGUGAGGUUGUAAACCGCUGUCAGCAGGGAAGAAUGCCCGGAUGGUGAAUUCGGGAGUGACGGUACCUGCAGAGGAAGCCCCGGCUAACUCCGUGCCAGCAGCCGCGGUAAUACGGAGGGGGCAAACGUUGUUCGGAAUUACUGGGCGUAAAGGGUGCGUAGGCGGUUCGGUAAGUCUAGCGUGAAAUCUCGUCGCUUAACGACGAAACUGCGCUGGAUACUGCUGAGCGCGAGGGUGGGAGAGGCUAGUGGAAUUCCUGGUGUAGCGGUGGAAUGCGUAGAUAUCAGGAAGAACACUCGUGGCGAAGGCGGCUAGCUGGCCCAUUCCUGACGCUGAGGCACGAAAGCCAGGGGAGCGAACGGGAUUAGAUACCCCUNUANUC